UCUACGUAGUAGUAAAAAUCAUGAACAUAAACCCAACAAGCAGAUUCAGAAUGUUGAGGGUGCCCAAUUCACCAGAAUCAGAAUCGUCGACCUCUUUGCACAUAUCAUACGUUCUGGUGAUUCUCGUUGACAGUUAAGAGAGAGAUAUGGCUUCUGUCGGAGAUAAAAGAGGUAGCGAUGGUGCUUCUAAAACGGUUGUAAUCGCUGAAUCUAUGAUGGAAAUUUCUGAAGCACAACUUUAUGAUUAUUAUAGACAGUCCUUAAGCAGUCAGGGAUUCAAAGUUCCGGAGUAUGGAGGUUUAAUACCUGGCGGAAUUGGACCCUAUAGGAUGUAUAAUGAGGAGCGUAAGCAACUUGUGACCGAUUUGGCUAAGCGAUGCUUGAAAUUCUAGAAUGACCAAAAUGUUGUGUCUAUGAUGGUUUUUGCUUUAUUGAGUUUUAUUUAUGUCUAUAAUCUCAUUCACUAAUGAUUAUUUUUAUUGUUGUUAUUACUAUGUAGAGGGCGACUUUUGAGUUUGAUAAGAUUGACACGGUUAAUAGCCAAGCUGUUGCUGGCUAUAUGUAUUACAUUAUUUUUACUGCACGCUCUCGUGAUAAUGCAUCUAAAACCUUUUAUGGCAAAGUAUGGGAAAAAAUAGAUCGUACCAUCGAUGUCAAGUUCUGUGAGAUGGCUACUAAGCAGGAAGCUGGUACAUCUCAGGCCUAAGUUGUGGAAUCUGAGUUUAGGUUCAUGUUCUAGUUGUGUGUUUAUGGUUUCUUCACGAAGGAAAACUCUGAUGCUGUUAUAUAAUUUUAAUACUCAUGAAAUAGUGCAAUGUGUAUUAGCACAAUGA
Arachis ipaensis is the source of this 833-nucleotide long non-coding RNA. RefSeq lists it as uncharacterized. NCBI's taxonomy places the organism in Eukaryota, Viridiplantae, Streptophyta, Magnoliopsida, Fabales, Fabaceae. The record is from RefSeq and is a predicted model, not a curated record.